GAACGAUCCUUCGGGAUAGUGGCGGACGGGUGAGUAACACGUGGGAACGUGCCCUUUGGUUCGGAACAACACGGGGAAACUUGUGCUAAUACCGGAUGUGCCCUUCGGGGGAAAGAUUUAUCGCCAUUGGAGCGGCCCGCGUCUGAUUAGCUAGUUGGUGAGGUAAAAGCUCACCAAGGCGACGAUCAGUAGCUGGUCUGAGAGGGUGACCAGCCACAUUGGGACUGAGACACGGCCCAAACUCCUACAGGAGGCAGCAGUGGGGAAUCUUGCGCAAUGGGCGAAAGCCUGACGCAGCCAUGCCGCGUGGAUGAUGAAGGUCUUAGGAUUGUAAAAUCCUUUCAGCGGGGACGAUAAUGACGGUACCCGCAGAAGAAGCCCCGGCUAACUUCGUG
This 395-nucleotide ribosomal RNA is filed under the name uncultured bacterium. Its description in RNAcentral is "bacterial SSU rRNA". It matches the Rfam family "Bacterial small subunit ribosomal RNA", at positions 64 to 507 of the family's 1533-position model. The record is from RNAcentral.